This 1482-nucleotide ribosomal RNA is filed under the name Triticum aestivum (bread wheat). RNAcentral describes it as "partial small subunit ribosomal RNA". The record is from RNAcentral. Lineage: Eukaryota; Viridiplantae; Streptophyta; Magnoliopsida; Poales; Poaceae.
AUGGUCGUGGCCAUGGCGGCGGCGCGGCGGAGGCGGGUGUGGCGGUGGGCCAUGCGCGCGGUGGCCAGCGCGGUGAUGUGGACGGCGGUCCUGCAGCUGGCGUCCAUCACCGGCCUCUGGCGCCCCAGGGUCUUCGCGGACUGCUGGGGCGGCUCCGGCUCCGGGGGCGCCUCGGCCGGCCUGGCCGCGCUCGCCGGCGAGGACCGGGUCGCCGCGCGGCUCUCCCCUCCGGCGCUCGUGCCCAGGAGAGUUUAUAGAAGCAAUGGCUAUCUGCUAGUAACUUGCAACGGAGGCCUUAAUCAAAUGCGAGCCGGGAUAUGUGAUAUGGUGACCAUAGCACGCCAUCUGAAUCUAACAUUAGUGCUCCCUGAACUGGAUAAAAGGUCUUUCUGGGCUGAUCCAAGUGAUUUUGGAGAUAUAUUUGAUGUGAACCACUUCAUUAAUUCGUUAAGAGACGAACUAAAAAUUGUCAAAGCACUACCGUUGAAACUCCAGCUAAAAACUAGGAGAAGACUUUAUUCGAUGCCUCCUAUCAGCUGGUCAAACGAUACAUACUACCUAAAGCGGGUAAAUAAUGUAUUACCUCUUGCAAGGAAGCACAAGGUGAUCCAUUUCAAUAAAACGGAUGCCCGGCUAGCAAACAAUGGCAUUCCUAUCCAUCUCCAAAUGCUGCGCUGCCGUGUCAACUUUGAGGCUUUGAGAUUCACUCCACAGAUUGAGGCCCUUGGCAGAAAACUUAUCUCCACCCUUCAACGAAGUGGGGAAUUUGUUGUGCUUCACUUGCGUUAUGAAAUGGACAUGCUCUCCUUUUCAGGCUGCACACAUGGCUGUUCCGAUAAAGAAACUGAGGAGCUCACCAGAAUGAGAUAUGCAUAUCCAUGGUGGAAAGAAAAGGAAAUCGAUUCUGAAACCAAGAGGCUUCAGGGACUUUGUCCCCUCACACCUGAGGAAAUUGCUCUAGUGCUUAAAGCUCUAGGGUUUUCAAAGGAUACGUUGAUAUAUAUUGCCUCUGGUGAAAUCUAUGGAGGUGAAAGACGGUUGGCUGCUCUUAAGGCUGCCUAUCCGAAUUUGGUUAGAAAGGAAAAACUGUUAUCUUCCAAUGAAUUGUGGCCAUUCCAGAACCAUUCGACCCAGAUGGCAGCACUGGACUACAUGGUUUCGAUAGCAAGCAAUGUUUUCAUCCCCAGUUAUGAUGGAAAUAUGGCAAGACUUGUCGAAGGUCACCGCAGGUAUAGUGGCUUUCGCAAGACCAUCUUAUUGGACAGGACAAAACUUGUUGAACUUUUGGAUCAUUUCCAAGGAGGUUCAUUGUCCUGGGAUGAAUUCUCUGCGGCUGUGAAGGAGGCGCACCAGUAUCGCAUGGGCCAACCCACAGACAGAAGGGCCAUCCCUGGCCGGCCCAAGGAAGAGGACUACUUCUAUGCUAAUCCCCAAGAAUGCGUCGGUUCCAGUUCCAUGGGGAGAUUAAGAGAUGUUUCCUGA